This 585-nucleotide ribosomal RNA is filed under the name uncultured bacterium. Its description in RNAcentral is "bacterial SSU rRNA". It matches the Rfam family "Bacterial small subunit ribosomal RNA", at positions 56 to 640 of the family's 1533-position model. The record is from RNAcentral.
UGCAGUCGACGGUAACAGAACUAGCUUGCUAGUUGCUGACGAGUGGCGGACGGGUGAGUAAUACUUAGGGAUCUGCCUCUGUGUGGGGGAUAACUAUUGGAAACGAUAGCUAAUACCGCAUAACGUCUACGGACCAAAGAGGGCUUCGGCUCUCGCGCAGAGAGGAACCUAAGCGAGAUUAGCUUGUUGGUGAGGUAAAGGCUCACCAAGGCGACGAUCUCUAGCUGUUCUGAGAGGAAGAUCAGCCACACUGGAACUGAGACACGGUCCAGACUCCUACGGGAGGCAGCAGUGGGGAAUAUUGCACAAUGGGGGCAACCCUGAUGCAGCCAUGCCGCGUGUGUGAAGAAGGCCUUCGGGUUGUAAAGCACUUUCAGUUGUGAGGAAAGGUUAGUAGUUAAUACCUGCUAGCUGUGACGUUAACAACAGAAGAAGCACCGGCUAACUCCGUGCCAGCAGCCGCGGUAAUACGGAGGGUGCGAGCGUUAAUCGGAAUUACUGGGCGUAAAGCGCACGCAGGCGGUCUGUUAAGCUAGAUGUGAAAGCCCCGCGCUCAACGUGGGAGGGUCAUUUAGAACUGGCAGA